Molecule: unclassified non-coding RNA, 319 nt
Filed under: Bursera cerasifolia
Lineage: Eukaryota; Viridiplantae; Streptophyta; Magnoliopsida; Sapindales; Burseraceae
Description: partial external transcribed spacer
Source: RNAcentral
UUCGGUAUCCUGUGUUGCUUACCUAUCGAAAGGAAUCCGAUGGUUUCGUUAGUCCCUUUCCACCCCCUGCCCUCACGGGUUUUGGGGUGGACAUCAGGCAAGCCUCGUGUUCCCGGCAUGCUUCGCCCAGCUGCGUCGCUGCCUCGGCCCAUGAGGCGCAUUGCCCGUGCUCUCGGAUGCAGAAUGUUAUGUGCGGGUGCGGGGUCUAUUUAUUAGCUCCGUUUGCCCAAGCAACGCAUUUGUCUUACGACACGAACGACUGCCGUGCCCGUCUUGAGCCCGCUGCCGUACGGCCUGCCGGGUCUCAUGCGGGUGUCGG